This is a long non-coding RNA of Lolium rigidum, 1157 nucleotides long. RefSeq lists it as uncharacterized. The transcript has 2 exons. Lineage: Eukaryota; Viridiplantae; Streptophyta; Magnoliopsida; Poales; Poaceae. The record is from RefSeq and is a predicted model, not a curated record.
UGAAUCUUCAUAAUAUCUUUUUUUUAAGAAGAGUGAGCUCAAUCUUAAGUAAGCUUGGACCAUAUAUAUUAACAAUGGAUAUAUUUUUUUGAAAUCAAUAAUUCUCUGAACCCUAUUGACCUCUAAAAAACAUUGAUUUUCUCUAUUCUAGAGUCUUAUGUCACACUAAUGCCUCUUUGUAUUGUGUUCAUUUUUGUUGAGCAUGUGCCAUGAAGAAGUAGCAUAUCACUUUACCACAUUAGUAAUAUGUAACGCCUUUGAUAGAAGAUAAAGAUUUACUUAUUUUGCUCAAACAACAUGUUUCAGCAUUUCAAUCUAAUUUUUAGAUAUCAUGGUACUUGUAAGUUGAUACAGCCCCAUCUAUGAAGUAAAAUUCCUGAAAAAAAUCAACACAUAUUAUUUGUUACCUAUUGGUUCUGAGGCAUGGCAGCUGCAAACUCUGCAGCUGAAACAAUGAAAGUAUGGUUGUUGGGUUAGAAAAUUAUUUGGUUUUAUUUGAUUGUGGCGAUGCGACAUUUGAUUUAAGUCCAAGUAUAGCACUUUUGUUUUUAACUGUUAUCUCCAUUGUAUCACCAAUAAAAGAUGUAUCAAGUAUCUCAUAUGUGUGUUUUCCUUUUGCUAUUACUACAGUUGUGAGAGUUAAUCGGAUCCAUUUGCAUUCUUUGUAUAUAAAAUAUCCUUCAUGUGAUCUGAUAUGUAUGUGAUCCAUCAUUUUGUAUAGGGUUGUCAAAGAUAUUAAGAACUCAUCCGUGUCAAGAUCUUUGUUUCGGGGUUUGCCUCGUCAGGUUGAAUCUGAAGGGGUAAUUACUUACAUACUAGGCGCAAACAGCCGUCACAGAAAGCCCAGGUAGAUGGACAAAUCAAGAAAAAACCUAUACCAGAAUUAGACAUCAAAACUGGAAGGCUCUUAAUCUUUUUAUAUGCUGACUUCGGAUAUUGUUUCAUAUUUCGACGAGUAGAUACCAAAUCAAAUGUAGCAUCUGCUUUGACUAUAGCAAAAAUAGCAAGCAGUGGAUGAUAAACAUGUGUUGGUGAUGUUGGGUAGAAAAACUAUUCCAUUGUUGUAUGUUUAUGUUACCUUUAACUUAGUUCGUGGCUGAUUCCUUCUCUUUCCACGAUUCCUAGCUUUUGGUGUUAUAACUUAUAAGUUUCAAGUA